CUUUCGACAUGGGGCCAUGCAUUACCAUGCUGAAACAUGAGGUGAUGGCGGCGGAUGAAUGGCACGACAAUGGGCCUAAGGAUCUCGUGACGGUAUCUCUGUGCAUUCAAAUUGCCAUUGAUAAAAUGCAAUUGUGUUCGUUGUCCGUAGAUUAUGCCUGCCCACACCAUAACCCUACAGCCAACACGAUGCCAUAUACUUGGUCUGUGGUUGUGAGGCCGGUUGGACAUACUGCCAAAUUCUCUAAAACGACAUUGAAGGCGGCUUAUGCAAUUGUCAAUGAUCAAGAAUCCUGCCGAACAGAGAGUGUAUGCUCCACCAAGAAGAAACCAAGGAAGCGUUCGCUCAUUUCCAGGAUGUUUUCAGCUAUAGGCAAAACCUUGUCCAGUCCCUUUACUUCCUG
Oncorhynchus tshawytscha (Chinook salmon) is the source of this 403-nucleotide long non-coding RNA. The record is from Ensembl. NCBI's taxonomy places the organism in Eukaryota, Metazoa, Chordata, Actinopteri, Salmoniformes, Salmonidae.